CAACAACGUAAAGAGUUUGAAUAAGUCUCUUGAGGAGGAAAGAGAUUCAAGUUUGAAGAUUAAUUCGGACCUCCAACAGAAGCUUAAUGAUGCGGAAUCUACGAUCAAAUCUUCUAAUGACAAGAUUGGAUUUUUGGAGCAUCAAUUUCAUGAAUCGCACAAGUCCAAUCAAGUCUUGAUCGAUCAAGUUCGUCAACUCCAAUCCGAUCUUCAACGAUUUUCUUCCGGAUCAAAGAAAUUGGACCAUAUGCUUGGAUUGGGUCAAACGAACAAGCUUGGACUCGGUUAUGAACGCACAUAUGUUGAGAAGGCGUCAACCGCAUCUUCUAAUGCCUCAACAACUUCGAAAGGCAAAGUAUGUCAUAAAUGUGGCAUCAACGGACAUAUUAAAAGGAAUUGCCCAAAUAAGGAAAAGAAGAAACAAUUGGCAAUGUCUACACAUCGAUUGACACUCUCAAAACCUCAAUCGACAUCGUCUACAACUCGACUUCCCCCGCGGAAUCAAAAGGAAAAUCAAAUUAGU
This 523-nucleotide long non-coding RNA is filed under the name Ananas comosus (pineapple). RNAcentral's name for it is "long non-coding RNA (ACOM_LNC035557)". Lineage: Eukaryota; Viridiplantae; Streptophyta; Magnoliopsida; Poales; Bromeliaceae. The record is from RNAcentral.